CAUCCUACGGGACGCAGCAGUGGGGGAUAUUGCACAAUGGGGGGAACCCUGAUGCAGCAACGCCGCGUGAAGGAAGAAGGGUUUCAGCUCGUAAACUUCUAUCAACAGGGACGAAAGAAAUGACGGUACCUGAAUAAGAAGCCCCGGCUAACUACGUGCCAGCAGCCGCGGUAAUACGUAGGGGGCAAGCGUUAUCCGGAAUUACUGGGUGUAAAGGGUGAGUAGGCGGCAUGGUAAGCCAGAUGUGAAAGCCUUGGGCUUAACCCGAGGAUUGCAUUUGGAACUAUCAAGCUAGAGUACAGGAG
This 305-nucleotide ribosomal RNA is filed under the name uncultured bacterium. RNAcentral's name for it is "bacterial SSU rRNA". It matches the Rfam family "Bacterial small subunit ribosomal RNA", at positions 335 to 654 of the family's 1533-position model. The record is from RNAcentral.